This 433-nucleotide ribosomal RNA is filed under the name uncultured bacterium. RNAcentral's name for it is "bacterial SSU rRNA". It matches the Rfam family "Bacterial small subunit ribosomal RNA", at positions 355 to 786 of the family's 1533-position model. The record is from RNAcentral.
UGAGGAAUAUUGGUCAAUGGUCGGGAGACUGAACCAGCCAAGCCGCGUGAGGGAUGAAGGUACAGAGUAUCGUAAACCUCUUUUGUCAGGGAACAAAAGGCGCCACGUGUGGCGCUCCGAGUGUACCUGAAGAAAAGCAUUGGCUAACUCCGUGCCAGCAGCCGCGGUAAUACGGAGGAUGCGAGCGUUAUCCGGAUUUAUUGGGUUUAAAGGGUGCGUAGGCGGCGAGUUAAGUCAGCGGUAAAAUGCCCGGGGCUCAACCCCGGCCCGCCGUUGAAACUGGCUUGCUUGAGUUGGAGAGAAGUAGGCGGAAUGCGCGGUGUAGCGGUGAAAUGCUUAGAUAUCGCGCAGAACUCCGAUUGCGAAGGCAGCCUACCGGCUCCACACUGACGCUGAGGCACGAAAGCGUGGGUAUCGAACAGGAUUAGAUACC